This 57-nucleotide ribosomal RNA is filed under the name Mya sp. LYG_yan. Its description in RNAcentral is "partial 28S ribosomal RNA". Lineage: Eukaryota; Metazoa; Mollusca; Bivalvia; Myida; Myidae. The record is from RNAcentral.
CGGACAGGCGAGGCCCCGGCAGUGAGCCGGGGCCGCAAUAUGCGUUCAAGAUGUCGA